This 295-nucleotide long non-coding RNA is filed under the name Elaeis guineensis (African oil palm). RNAcentral describes it as "long non-coding RNA (EGUI_LNC053516)". The record is from RNAcentral. Lineage: Eukaryota; Viridiplantae; Streptophyta; Magnoliopsida; Arecales; Arecaceae.
CUGGUGGUCCUUCUCAAAGUUCUGCAGCAACCCCAACAAGCCGUGGUAGUUCACUGCAGGCUUUGUCAUUCAAAAAUGAGUAAGGAAGGGGAGGAAGGACUUGGGCAAAGAAUUAAGGAUCGCAUCCUUAUCGAGCUGCUCGUGCAAGGGAAAGCCCAGUUUACUUAGGCGCUCAAUCAUUUCGAUCAUGUACAGUACAUGAUCAGUGACUGAGGCCCCAUCCCUCAUCCGAGCAUUGAAAAUGGCACAACUAGUUUUGUGCCUUUCAACGUCAUCAGGCAUGUCAAAGGAGUCG